Molecule: unclassified non-coding RNA, 276 nt
Filed under: Hevea brasiliensis (rubber tree)
Lineage: Eukaryota; Viridiplantae; Streptophyta; Magnoliopsida; Malpighiales; Euphorbiaceae
Source: RNAcentral
CAUGGAAUCCAUCUUCAAAAGGUGAACUAUUCUUGUUUUUCUUUUAUACUAUUGCUUGCCAUUAAGUGCAGUACGGAUGCUUUAGUAGGUGCUGUUUUUACCAAAAAAUUAAGCUGUUUCACAAAUGAACUUUUGAGCACCCAUAUUUUCUUCUAAAUGCUAUGGUGUAAAAGACAGUGCAAAAGGGGAAAGAAAGCCAAAGAAUGCAGUAGAAUUCCUUCAUUAACAUGAAUUAACUUGGCUUACAUUUUGCAGGUCUUUGCUUGGGCAUCAUGG